This 238-nucleotide ribosomal RNA is filed under the name Vibrio splendidus. RNAcentral's name for it is "partial 16S ribosomal RNA". It matches the Rfam family "Bacterial small subunit ribosomal RNA", at positions 1 to 225 of the family's 1533-position model. Lineage: Bacteria; Pseudomonadati; Pseudomonadota; Gammaproteobacteria; Vibrionales; Vibrionaceae. The record is from RNAcentral.
AAAUUGAAGAGUUUGAUCAUGGCUCAGAUUGAACGCUGGCGGCAGGCCUAACACAUGCAAGUCGAGCGGAAACGACAACAUUGAAUCUUCGGAGGAUUUGUUGGGCGUCGAGCGGCGGACGGGUGAGUAAUGCCUAGGAAAUUGCCUUGAUGUGGGGGAUAACCAUUGGAAACGAUGGCUAAUACCGCAUAAUGCCUACGGGCCAAAGAGGGGGAUCUUCGGACCUCUCGCGUCAAGA